AGGGAACUGAAACAUCUAAGUACCUGCAGGAAAGGACAUCAACCGAGACUCCGUUAGUAGUGGCGAGCGAACGCGGACCAGGCCAGUGGCAACAAGUCAGUAAAGUGGAACGGAAUGGAAAGUCCGGACCUCAGCGGGUAGAUAGCCCCGUACACGUAGAAAGCUUGUUGUCCUUGAGUAGGGCGGGACACGUGAAAUCCUGUCUGAACAUGGGGAGACCACUCUCCAAGCCUAAGUACUCGUGCAUGACCGAUAGCGAACAAGUACCGUGAGGGAAAGGUGAAAAGCACCCCGGACAAGGGGGAGUGAAACUAGAACCUGAAACCGGUUGCCUACAAACAGUGGAAGCCCGUAAAGGGUGACUGCGUACCUUUUGUAUAAUGGGUCAACGACUUAGUGUAACAAGCAAGCUUAAGCCGGUAGGUGUAGGCG
RNAcentral lists this ribosomal RNA (432 nucleotides) under uncultured bacterium. RNAcentral's name for it is "bacterial LSU rRNA". It matches the Rfam family "Bacterial large subunit ribosomal RNA", at positions 187 to 668 of the family's 2925-position model. The record is from RNAcentral.